Molecule: ribosomal RNA, 293 nt
Filed under: uncultured bacterium
Lineage: Bacteria
Description: partial 16S ribosomal RNA
Rfam family: Bacterial small subunit ribosomal RNA
Source: RNAcentral
AAUCAACGCUGGCGGCGUGCCUAACACAUGCAAGUCGAACGCGAAAGGGGCUUCGGUCCUGAGUAGAGUGGCGUCCGGGUGAGUAACGCGUGGGUAAUCUACCCUUGGGGUGGGGAAUAACCAGUCGAAAGAGUUGGCCGUAAUACCGCAUAAUGCAGCGGCUCGACAUCGAGACAGUUGUUAAAGCAGCAAUGCGCCAGAGGAGGAGCCUGCGUCUGAUUAGCUUGUUGGCGGGGUAACGGCCCACCAAGGCUACGAUCAGUAGCUGGUCUGAGAGGACGGCCAGCCACAAU